CCCACAACGGUCCUGCCAACUCUGAAUCAUCGGACUGGCUGUUCUCCAUAACCGAUUCGGGGAAACAUGCCUGUGCAAAAUAAGCCGUGAAACAAUAAGGACGAGGUUUUCAGAGGCCCAGAUGGAGCCCCGGGGUACAACCACGUGGUCAGGCUGGUGAGGUACCUGGUGGGGCUGUGCCAUGAGCCCUGUGUCUGAGAGAGUCACAUUACCAGAAUUGUCUCUCUCUGGAACAACCUGCCGGAGAGAGACAGGCAGCGUGUCUCCUACCCACCGAGGCACAGGGAGUGGCUCCUUCAGGGCAGGUUCAAGGCCAGCCACUCAAAAACAUCAGUGUGUGCAGGGAAGGAAAGCCUGAAGUGCUGUCUACUGGGCCAAGGCACCGGGCCUGCACAGUGGCCUCACUUGAGCUGACUCGUGGAGGUCAUCUGCUUGGAGCUCUGCUCUCUGUGAGGCUGAACCACUGGGCUGCUGUCCUGCAGGACUACAGCAGUAUCAGAUGGCUGGUCCUGAGCAGCCCGGGGCUCAUGCAGACCACAUCACUGCAGCUUUUCUAAAUAAACCAGUGUAUACUGUCUGUUUGGUAAGUGUGUUCAGCCAACAUUUGGGAUCAGCUGAACUGAGGGAUUUUUUUUUUACGGCUUAAUGAUAAAUGCUGACUGAGGUUAUUUUAAAAAUAUUUUGUUUCUCGUAAGCAUAACGAACGUGCUGUGCUGUCCAUGGUCAUCCCUCUCCCCAACCCCAGCCUGACAUCAGCCGCCCCUCUACCUCAGCCCAAGCAAAAGGAGCAAGAGCCUGCAGAAACCCAUUCUGACCUGAGGCCGUUCACCUUUUCCUCCCCUCCAGACCUGUCUGGGCAGCAAGCUGCCGCUACUCCUACUCCACAACCCCA
This is a long non-coding RNA of Paramormyrops kingsleyae, 892 nucleotides long. RefSeq lists it as uncharacterized. NCBI's taxonomy places the organism in Eukaryota, Metazoa, Chordata, Actinopteri, Osteoglossiformes, Mormyridae. The record is from RefSeq and is a predicted model, not a curated record.